This 76-nucleotide transfer RNA is filed under the name Solemya velesiana gill symbiont. Its description in RNAcentral is "tRNA-Thr". It matches the Rfam family "tRNA". Rfam says of the family: Transfer RNA (tRNA) molecules are approximately 80 nucleotides in length. Their secondary structure includes four short double-helical elements and three loops (D, anti-codon, and T loops). The record is from RNAcentral. RNAcentral also lists the same sequence under 1 other name. Lineage: Bacteria; Pseudomonadati; Pseudomonadota; Gammaproteobacteria.
GCCGGAAUAGCUCAGUUGGUAGAGCAACGCACUCGUAACGCGUGGGUCGUAGGUUCGAUUCCUAUUUCCGGCACCA